CCUUUUUAUAUGCAGGGCACAGUCAGGUUUCUCAUUCGGACAUUCUCUGGUGCCUGUGGUGUGGAUCAGCAUCAGCAUGCUUUUGAUAGGCCCGAUAGGUUCUUUCUAAAAAUUCAGAAGGGCCUUUGUUUGAUUUCUGUUAAAUCACCUUUAUUAUUUUCAGGCUCUUUUUUUGGGCACCCUUUUCUUAACCCCUUCCAAUAUGUGCCUUUUGUAAUGUUCUAGGAAGCCUAUGUCCCUGAUAUUCAGGUCCCAGUUGGGUCCUUUCAAGAAAAUUGCCUCAGCUUUGUUGGGGGUCCCAUUGAGAUUCUCCUGAUGGAGGCGAUGAGCUUCUUCAUUAGCCUUGUUUAUAACUAGUUGCCUUUCAUCUGCCAUUAGCAGGGUGUUAAAGAGAGCCUGUACGUCUGCCCAGUUUCAAUGGUGAGUGGCAAAAGGUGGAGGUGAAAGAUCUGCCAAUCUCUGAGGAUCCUCCCUGUAUGAGGGGUUGGAAUUCUUCUAAUUUAGUAAAUCUGACAUGGAAACUGAAGUAUGUGUCCAGUAGUGGCCAGCAGGCUGGCCGUCCUGGUUUAAUCUGCCAGUGGGAUGUUGCCUCCAAAGGAAUUAUCUUGAUCUGGAGAGAGAUGCUUCCUGGCCAGAGUGGGUGCUUUGCCGGGUCUUCAAGGGAAAGACCAUUCCUUUCUCAUAUAGGGGUGGGACUGUUGUCCCUCUGGGCCCUGUUUCAGGGGUAUCUAGCAGCGAGGUUGGUGACAGGGGGAAUCUUGCUGCUAACCCUGUGUUUCCUAGGUUCAGGGCAUUACAGAGACUCAUUUUUCAUUUUCUUUUUCUCCCUGUGUCUUAAUGCCAGGGAGUGGUUUUGAGACCAAGUCCCUUAUCUGCAUCAUUAAAUUGUUCCUUUGCUGAGUCCUUAUGGUGUAAAGACAUAAACACCUGGACAUAAGGGAUUUCAUCAUAUUUCCCUGACUUAUGGCAAAACAAUUACAAUUACGUGGUGGUGUAGUAAUUUAGGGAACAAUUUAGGGGCCAUUUCCCCCCACCCUGUAAUCUAAGAUAUAUAUCUUAGGCCAAGCAGUGUUAUAAAUACAAAACCAGUUCCUUCUUAGUCAUUGGAUCAUAGCUGUACUUGGACCAAUCUGCUAAAAUUCUGCCCAGUGGGCUCCCUUCAAGAGUUGCAACAGAACAACCCCUGAGGACAUGAAAAUACAAACCCAAACCAUAACCAUAGAAAGACCCCAGACAAAGUGGGAACACAUGAACAAAACUUGGAUCCAUCAGUUCAUUGAUCCAAAUGAGUGCUUACAAGUAAGUUCUAGAGUCUUAUCUCCUGCCGGCUAAUACCACAAAUGGUUCUGACUAGACCCAAAUGGCAUGAAGCCCAAGUGGUAUGAAGCCCAACCAGCAAGGAUAGCCUGCCAGUUGAUACUACAGAUGAUCCUAACUGGACCCAAGUGGUACAGAGCCCAAAUGGCAGGGCUUAGGACCCCGCAGUGUGCAUGCUGGUUUGACCCCAGUCCUGGGGUCCAUCUACUCUCCAGAAACCCAUUUCCUUUUCACUAGCCAAGUGUUUCAGUAGGCUGACACCUUGAGAAGGAGAGCAGGAAAAUUUCCCAAGAAAGGUUCUCAGCAACUGUGGGAAGUCCUCAUAGUCCUUCUGGGGUUGGCCUGUCACAGGCAGCUGGGACCCCAGCUAUGGCCCUCUGGAACUUACCCUGACCUACAUGGCCCCAGUGGAGUCACCAAAAACUGUUACUGGAAACAGGUUUGGCUGCCUGCUGCAACUAAAGCCAAACCCGUGAGGCAGGUGCUCGUACAGAAGGAGGUUUUAUCAAGCACCAUGCCCUGGGAGAAUGGUGGACUUCUGUCUCAAAAGAUCAUCCCUGUGGUUCUCACAGGGACAGAGAGGGGAGGGCUUUCUUUCUAUUCAAUUAUCUUUAGCUUUUGGAGUACUUGAGGCCCUAUCCAUUCAUCUUUCUAGCUUUUGGUGCACCGGGGCCCUGUCCAUCUCGGACCUUUGGUUCACUCUGUGAAAACCCCCUCUUGCGCCAUCUUGGCCAAUGGGGGAGACUCCCUGGUGCUCACUGACUGUAGUAACAUUGAGAGUAAGUUUUCUUCAGACUCCCUCUUUGAGACUCUUCAGUAGGCUGAGUUGCCUGCCCUCCAUUCCAGUGUCCUUUCCUUUUUCUUCCCUGGCCUUGUGGGAGCCCCAGUGACAGCUUCCUAGAGGUCCUUCACCCUGGGCAUUCCCCAUGCCCACUCAGCUGUUCACACUCGUCCAAAGACCAGCCUCUUGCUACCAGUGUUUCUCAGGGGAGGGAUGAACCGGGGAAAGGGUCAGGGGCUUCAGACAAACUAGGUAACUCAGGACAUGACUGGGACAGGGAGGUUCUCCCAGUGUCCCCUGUGGUGCAGAGGAGCAGUGAAGCAGCUCCUUGGGAACCCCCAAGCACCACUUGCCCCCAUUCAGAUGGCUCAAAGCUGGGGUGCCUCAUUUCCUAGCAGAAACCUCACUUAAUUUAGAGACAGAUUACUUAAAUGUUAAACAGACCCUGUGUUCCUUUUUCUCUACAAGAUAAUCUUUUGGGUCCCGAGGUUUAUUAAACCUCUGUUCCUGAAGGAGGGAUAUGCUAGUGAGCCACUUCUACUUGAUAGGCCUUGCAAGUAUUUAUAAAACCACUUAGUAAUGAAGAUGUCUCAGAAUAUUAUCAUCAAUAGAACACAUGGUCAAGUAACAAACAACCAGUCACAAUUAAACUUUCAUAGGACACAGCAUCAGUUUCUAGUUUUGAUUUUCACAGUUUUUGUGUAAGUGGGCAGAUUUAAAUAAAAUCAACAUAAAGUGCAACAUGUUGCUCUUAGAUAAAGACUCUGGUUUCCUAUUUGUGAGAACAAAACUGCCCACUAGUGAAAGUUUUCAGUCCCACAGCUUGGAUCAGCCACUGAAUUUGUUGUGACUAAAAAAUGUCAUCUGUCCCUCUGCAUGGGCCACCUCUCCUGCUUGCCUUUGUGUGUAGGCACCUCCUUUUUUCACUUUUAAAGACUUGACCCUGAUGGCUGGGCUCCAGAGCACUUGGGAGCAUCACUUUUUUGCCUUCUGAGACCCAGUGGACCUGGAGACAGUGCCUGGCUGGCACCCAAUAGUAAGGUGCCUUUUUCCAUGCUGUGUGGUAAACCAUACAGCUGAGGAACCUAAGGAGGUAGACAUGGCUGUGACUAGAAGGAAGUCUGGCACCAGUGACCCCAGAGGUGAGACCCCUGUGGGGUCAGGGGCCCCACUGGAGUGAGGGGAGCAGAGUGAGGGCAGAGAAAGUUUAGGCCAGAAAAUGUGUGAGCUUCUGAGAUGGUCUUUUGUGCAGAAAGGACAGAACUAUUUUCAGCAGAAUACAGAAACUGCUGUCCAGGCGACUUUCCUCUGUACUGCUGACCUCCAGUCCCUGGUCGUACACGGUGUAAUCUUCUAGAAUCUUCCCCUCACUUGUGACCUGUGUUGGGAGGUCAACACAGGCUUGGACACAGGCUGAGUCUGUAGGCACCUGUUAGCCAAUGCUAGGAGUUAGCUAAGAAAUUUAGAAAUGUGAGGCAGCUCCAGCAUGCAAAAGAGCAGACUUAAAAAAAUAGUUCUAGGCCCUCCUGCCUCCUACUGGUUUCCUGUGACCCUAAGGCCCCCACCUGUUCUUGCUCUCCAGUCAGAUGUCCCUCCUGCACCCUGCAGGCAGCCCCUGGACCCGACACUUUCGAAAAGGUCUGUGUGGGUCUGUAUAUGUCUCAAAUGCAGGCUACUGGACUGUCCUGUGCAGGUUUUAGCUAACCAUUUCUUUCUUUUAAUAGUUCCUUAGUUUUUUUUCUGCAUGGCUAUUUGCUCAGUUGCCACUGGUUCUGAUUUUGCACUCUGCACUUUUUCCUCAUUCUAAUGUAGUGAUAACAGCCUUCCAUGUACUUUUUAGGUCUCUACUUCCAGAAUGCUGUUGCAAAUAUUUAUGCUUUUCCAAGGGCAUUAGGAAGUGACACUUCCACACAUAUUAGAAGCUUAGAGGUAUCAUGUGACUCAUCAAAGUGACAGUCUGGGCUGAUUUGGGAUAUCAGAAGCCUCUGCCACACACUUGCACAGAAUCCCAGAGGACCACAGCUUCUGAUGGGCUGGGGCCAUUGCACACCUGAGGAGAAAUGCUUUGGAGACAAGCUGAGGCAGUUGGACCAGCUGGGGCAUCUGAAGUCCCUAUACUUGGGCAGGGCUGGUCAGCAGCUUUGAGGACUUGGAGUUGGAAAGGCUCAGGUGGGUGGACUCAGGCCUGCUGGUGGGAAAUGCAGAAAAUGCAAUGGGGACACCAUGGGGAAUGGCUACUCAGUCAUAGUACAUGGAAAACAGAGCUAGCAAGUAUCUAACCCUACACUGGCCAUCCUGCAAAUGUCCCUAGGCUGGUCUCUGGAGUUUGGUAUUGCUGUAGUGUGUGUGUGUUUCAGUUGGGUAAUUCACAAUACAUAAAGUUAACUAUUUUAAGUGGACAAUUCUGGAAUUUAGCACAGCCACAAUGUUGUACAGCCACCAUGUCUGUCUUAUUCCAAAACAUUUUCAUCACCUCAAAAAGGAGACCCUGAACUCGUUAGCAGGAUUUGCCUUUUGUGGAUGUUUUAUAUAAAUGGGUUCAUACACUG
Molecule: long non-coding RNA, 4647 nt
Organism: Phyllostomus discolor (pale spear-nosed bat)
Lineage: Eukaryota; Metazoa; Chordata; Mammalia; Chiroptera; Phyllostomidae
Exons: 2
Source: RefSeq, a predicted model, not a curated record